UGAACGCUGGCGGUAUGCCUAACACAUGCAAGUCGUACGAGGGUUUUUAACUCUAGUGGCGGACGGGUGAGUAACACGUGAGAAUUUGCCUUUAGGAGGGGGAUAACAAUCGGAAACGAAUGCUAAUACCCCCAUAUGCUUUUGAGUGAAAAUGGAUUUUAUCCGCCCUAAAAGAGAAGCUCGCGGCUGAUUAGCUUGUUGGUAAGGUAAGAGCUUACCAAGGCGACGAUCAGUAUCUGGUUUGAGAGGACGAUCAGACACACUGGAACUGAGACACGGUCCAGACUCCUACGGGAGGCAGCAGUGGGGAAUUUUCCGCAAUGGGCGAAAGCCUGACGGAGCAAUACCGCGUGAGGGAAGACUGCCUAUGGGUUUGUAAAACCCUCUUUUUUCAGGGAGGAAUAAAUUGACGUGUACCUGAAGAAUAAGCAUCGGCUAACUCCGUGCCAG
Molecule: ribosomal RNA, 450 nt
Filed under: uncultured bacterium
Lineage: Bacteria
Description: bacterial SSU rRNA
Rfam family: Bacterial small subunit ribosomal RNA
Source: RNAcentral